AACCCGGUUCACCAGAUUACGAGUCCACCGCUCUUAAACACUACACCAUGCUGGCUCCCAAAACCAGUGUGAAACCAGUUUUGGGGGAAGUCUCUCAUGUGUGUGGUGGGACCGUUUCAGUGAGUUGCCUCUGUGGCUAUUGCCCUGCUCCUCACGUGAGUACAACCUAGCCCUUUUUUGUUUCUGGUGACCCUAACAAGUGUGCAGAACAAUAGAAGAAUGGCAGAUGAAGAUGAUGGAUUUUUUCAGAGCUAGCCAACCUAACUGGAAGAGUCCGCGACCAUAAGGAGGAGGAGUAUCAGGAAGAAUGGAAUAAAUUUAAUGAUUAUUUAGUUAAAUUUGUUAAGUUAAAUUAACUGGAAAUAGCCUGCAGAUACUUAAUGGGCUUAGGAUUUUAUUUAUGUUAAGUGAUGAACUAAUAUGUCUAAUUCUAUAAGGUGAAGAUUUAAGGAUGUUAAUGUUUAAGUUAAAUUUCAUAAACAUUGGGAUUUGGAAAACCAUUAAAAGGACAUGCAAUGAAAUUCAACUAAGGGGAAACGAGGAAGUCACUUAACAAAGUUAAUAACUGUAAUUUUCAAUAAGGCUAUGAUUUAUGUUUGUUUUGUUUGUUUGUCUUGUGUGUUUGUUUGUUUUUUAUAAUAUUGUGAAAACCAAUAUAAUUUUUUUGGGGGGUGGGAACAAGUGUGCAGAAGGCAUUCUGGAAUUUCAGCAGCCCAGUUCAGAGGACCUAAUCUUUAAACAUGUGCAGGAUUACCCUGAAGACUGUAAUCACAGAAGAUACAUCAGGUUUUUAUCAGAAGUUCAGUACAGCUAAAUAUCAGUCUUGUGCAAAACUUCUGUAUUUUUUAAUAUAUUUUAAAAAACAAACAAACCACCAGAUAAAAAUGGAUGCUGCCCACCUUUC
Molecule: non-coding RNA, 904 nt
Organism: Podarcis lilfordi (Lilford's wall lizard)
Lineage: Eukaryota; Metazoa; Chordata; Lepidosauria; Squamata; Lacertidae
Source: the annotation of a GenBank genome assembly